AGCCAACACCACGUACCGCACUGGCCGCCAUGACAGUCCCGACAGCGCCAGCAGGUGUAACGAUACAGCGAUACAGCGAUACGUCUCGCGGACACCAACUCUCUGUAUUAUGGGGUGACCACGGAAAACAGUACACAGGACUGACGUCAGAGUUGCGGUUGCCACCACACACCGGAGGUCAGGCGCCACGCGGCAAGUACCUCCCCCGAGGGUAGGAGCCAAUCAGGAGCAAGCGGGGCUCGUGCCACUGGUGGCGGGCGGGGCCUUACUGUGGCCAAGAGGUCAUCCCAACACAGAUACCUAACACACUAGACUGGUUUCCAUGGUUACCUUCUCAGGCCAGCGUCUGGUCUCUCACAAACAAGUUCCUCUAACUGACGUUGUGUACUUCACCUUGGGCACCCCUUUGAGCUAAUGAACUUUGAACUAAAUGUAACACAUGAUUUAAAAAUUAAAGAGCUGUUGAUGUCGGGAAAAGGUGAGCGAGUGAGCAAGUGAGUGAACUGAGUGAGUGAGUGAACUGAGUGAACGAUGACCGACGAAGGGUCGGCGAGGGUAGAGAGCAUUUCAUGAACGCUAAUCUCACAUCUCUUGAGGGCCGAACCCAGUUCGCGAAGAUCGGCGAUCUGUCGAUAUGUACCCGACAGU
Molecule: long non-coding RNA, 648 nt
Organism: Pomacea canaliculata
Lineage: Eukaryota; Metazoa; Mollusca; Gastropoda; Architaenioglossa; Ampullariidae
Exons: 3
Source: RefSeq, a predicted model, not a curated record